GCCAACCUAUCUACCGCUGCCAACCUACCUAUCGCUGCCAAUCUAUCUACCACUGCUAAUCUAUCGCUGCUAAUCUAUCGCUGCCAACCUACCUACCGCUGCCAACCUAUCUACCACUGCCAAUCUACCUACCGCUGCCAACCUACCUACCACUGCUAAUCUAUCACUGCUAAUCUAUCGCUGCUAAUCUAUUGCUGCUAAUCUAUCGCUGCUAAUCUAUUGCUGCUAAUCUAUCUAUCACUGCUAAUCUAUGCUAAUCUAUCGCUGCCAACCUACCUACCGCUGCCAACCUAUCUACCACUGCCAAUCUACCUACCGCUGCCAACCUACCUACCACUGCUAAUCUAUCACUGCUAAUCUAUCGCUGCUAAUCUAUUGCUGCUAAUCUAUCGCUGCUAAUCUAUUGCUGCUAAUCUAUCUAUCACUGCUAAUCUAUCGCUGCCAACCUACCUACCGCUGCCAACCUACCUACCGCUGCCAACCUACCUACCACUGCUAAUCUAUCACUGCUAAUCUAUCGCUGCCAACCUAUAUAGGGUAAAUCAUGGUCCCAUUUGGUCCCAUUUUGUAAAAUGGGACCAAAUGGGACUGGGACCACUAAUUUAUUAGUAAAACAUGAUCUGGGACUAGAUUUAUAAUAUAAACAGUGUAAAGUGACUAAUUUACUAAACACUAUAUGGGACCA
This 685-nucleotide small RNA is filed under the name Histoplasma capsulatum. Its description in RNAcentral is "hypothetical RNA". RNAcentral also lists the same sequence under 1 other name. The record is from RNAcentral. Lineage: Eukaryota; Fungi; Ascomycota; Eurotiomycetes; Onygenales; Ajellomycetaceae.